GACUGUAUAUGAUCGUAUAUGCCAAUUUAUUCAUAAGGGUUUUAUAUCUGUCAAGUGGAAUGUUUUGUUUAAGUUUCAUACUCCUUUCGUAUGUAGUCUAUCAUUUUUAGAUAUUUUAAUUGAUUUGAACCGUCCAAUGCCAAAGCUUUCAUGUGACAAUUUCCUGCUUCCAUCAAUUCACCUUUCAGAUAACACGCAAUACCAAGAAGUGUGUAACAUUCUGCUUUCAUGACAUGAUUACCAAUAUAUUUAUUGGUUUCAAUGAAUGAUUUCAUAUCAUUUAAAGAAUCUAAACAUUUCUGCGUCUUCUUCAGCUUAUAAAACUAAUAAAACGUAAAAAAUAAUGUGUACGCAAUUGGAGGCUUCUGGAUAUAUCCCUUGUAUUUUCAGGAAUUAAAAAAGAGUUGCGUUGAAAAUCGUUCGGCUCCAUGGUAUUAUCUGUGUAUAUUGCGCUUAAAUCAGUAUCAUUGCAUCUCCGUGGUAAAUAGUCGAUGGUAAACUUAUCCUCACUGUAAUACAGUUUCUCUUGUUUUCCUUCCUUAAUCUUUGAUAACACGUAGUCAGUGAUUUUGAGUGAAACUGAAUAUUUCCUUACACAAUAAUAGUAUGUAGCUAAAUAAUUCCAUCCCGAUACGGCAUCACUGCGUACUCCCAUUAUGACGAAGAGUAAUAUCUCCUUUAAAAUUUGAUAAUGCAGUUUAUUUUCACACUGGGUAACAUACUGGUAGGUAAAACGGCUACCAAUAUUGCGACACAACGUAUUGAAUAUAAAGCUUAAUAUAAACCGGUCGUUUUUUUCGCUUGAGCAGCUCUAAAGUAUUAAUCAAUACCUGUUUCGGUGUAAGUAUGUUUGUAGAUGUUGGCUGGCCACAUAGAAGCAUAAAUCUUACUUCAUUAAGCUUGGUUAGAUUGGCGAAACAUUUAGAAAACUUUCUCAUGUCCGUUCCUCUCAAUGUAGGCGACAAGUUUUGGGAUACAUGUACAUAUAGAGGCGCAAGGAAAACGACGGACAUAAAACUUGACGAAACAAGACAUGCAGAGAAAUUUUUAUACAAUCGAACUAUUGUUGUUUUCAAAUUAUUCCAAUCUGGUUUAGUAAUUCUACGUUCAAACAUAUUCCUUUCCGUUAUAAAAUAAUGAGGCAUGAUAUUGUGUUUUACGUAGUAUAAAAGUCGUUUAAGGCAUUCUAGAAAGCAAUUCACAAAAUUAUGCGGUGUCCAUCCAGUAACAUCAAUUUCUUCUGAAAUCCAGAAAACAACUGUCUUUAAAAAAUACGAACAUAGAAGCUUUUUAAAUUUUAGAUUUCGUUCAAUCACGUCUUUUAACAAUAUUUUUAGAAGGGCAUAAACCAAAAGCUGAGUAUGAGUAAAAUAAAACACUAGCAUUAUUUCAGCUACCGUGAAUGCAGCUCGCCAUUCUAUAUCUUUAUUU
This 1431-nucleotide long non-coding RNA is filed under the name Mytilus galloprovincialis (Mediterranean mussel). The record is from RNAcentral. Lineage: Eukaryota; Metazoa; Mollusca; Bivalvia; Mytilida; Mytilidae.